UGGGGAAUUUUGGACAAUGGGGGCAACCCUGAUCCAGCCAUGCCGCGUGAGUGAAGAAGGCUUCGGGUUGUAAAGCUCUUUCAGCCGGAAAGAAAUCGUGCAGAUUAAUACUCUGCAUGGAUGACGUAC
Molecule: ribosomal RNA, 129 nt
Filed under: uncultured beta proteobacterium
Lineage: Bacteria; Pseudomonadati; Pseudomonadota; Betaproteobacteria
Description: partial 16S ribosomal RNA
Rfam family: Bacterial small subunit ribosomal RNA
Source: RNAcentral